This 578-nucleotide ribosomal RNA is filed under the name uncultured Lachnospiraceae bacterium. RNAcentral's name for it is "bacterial SSU rRNA". It matches the Rfam family "Bacterial small subunit ribosomal RNA", at positions 122 to 716 of the family's 1533-position model. The record is from RNAcentral. Lineage: Bacteria; Bacillati; Bacillota; Clostridia; Lachnospirales; Lachnospiraceae.
UAACCUGCCUCAUACAGGGGGAUAACAGUUAGAAAUGGCUGCUAAUACCGCAUAAGCCCACAGGUCGGCAUCGACCAGAGGGAAAAGGAGCAAUCCGCUUUGAGAUGGCCUCGCGCCCGAUUAGCUAGUUGGUGAGGUAACGGCCCACCAAGGCAACGAUCGGUAGCCGGACUGAGAGGUUGAACGGCCACAUUGGGACUGAGACACGGCCCAGACUCCUACGGGAGGCAGCAGUGGGGAAUAUUGCACAAUGGGGGAAACCCUGAUGCAGCGACGCCGCGUGGAGGAAGAAGGUCUUCGGAUUGUAAACUCCUGUUGUUGAGGAAGAUAAUGACGGUACUCAACAAGGAAGUGACGGCUAACUACGUGCCAGCAGCCGCGGUAAAACGUAGGUCACAAGCGUUGUCCGGAAUUGCUGGGUGUAAAGGGAGCGCAGGCGGGAAGACAAGUUGGAAGUGAAAUCUAUGGGCUCAACCCAUAAACUGCUUUCAAAACUGUUUUUCUUGAGUAGUGCAGAGGUAGGCGGAAUUCCCGGUGUAGCGGUGGAAUGCGUAGAUAUCGGGAGGAACACCAGUGGC